Aedes albopictus (Asian tiger mosquito) is the source of this 5259-nucleotide RNA transcript. It is a transcript of the gene named far upstream element-binding protein 1, with no coding region annotated. NCBI's taxonomy places the organism in Eukaryota, Metazoa, Arthropoda, Insecta, Diptera, Culicidae. The transcript has 7 exons. The record is from RefSeq and is a predicted model, not a curated record.
AUCGCCGCGUCAUUCAUCAGUUUUCUCUUGCCGUGAGUGGUUGGUCGUGCUUCUUGUGUGAUGUGCGGAAAAAUUGUGUCCAUACCCGUGCCCAGCAGCAGUAGCAGCAGAUUAUUCAUCCAUCAGCAGCAGCAGCAGCGCUACCUUUUUUCUUUAGUUUUUUGUUAAGUUUUCCACCCGGAAAAACGGUUUUCUCUUCAGUUUCGCGUUCCGGCAUUAGUGAUUCCCGAGGAAACAAAAACCCGUUCCGAUGAAAAAACGGUCCAAAAGAAGUGAAAAAUCCCUUUCCCGACGUUAGGAAUUUUAUUCAGUGCCAAGAAGAAGAGGAAUAAAAAGUAGCGAUAGACGGCUGCCACAGCGACGACGGAGUGACGAUAAACGGACAAAAAGAGUAGCUCGCUAAUUACGACGGCGACGAAAAAGCGCGUUUUGUGCGAGACUGUGGUGUUCUGGGAGUGCAAUUUCCGUGCGAGGACCGUUUUUACUUUAUUGGUUUAUUUAUUUUAAUAAUGAGUGAUUUUUCCAACCAGAACUCGCAAAAUUUUAGUCAAUCGUCAGCAUUUGCAGCCGCUUUACAGAGAGCUAAACAAAUUGCCGCUAAAAUACACCCGGGUGGUAACCAACCGGUUAAGAGAUCGAUUGAGGACGACUCGGGACCAGAAUCGAAAAAGUUUGGUGGACAGCCCGAUUAUAAUAAUGCCCAUUCGCCGACUGGCAUGAGUCCAGCUGCUAUGCAAGCCGCUGCUCAAGCUGCAGCCGUAGCCGCACGUUUGUCGCAAAUCAACAACAACUCAAACUCGAACCAACCCGCCGGAGGAGCACAAGAUCCAGUCCAGAGAGCACGUGACCUUAUUAGCAAAAUGGUGAACCAACAGGGAGGCGGUGGCCACAAUGGCCCAAUGGACAAUGGCAACCAUGGAGGCGGUGGCCGCGGAGGAUUCGGCGGAGGCCCAGGAAACUUUAACAACCAACCCUUCCAGGAGAUCAUGAUCCCCGGUUCCAAGGUGGGACUGAUCAUUGGCAAAGGAGGAGAAACAAUCAAACAACUACAGGAGAAAUCCGGAGCCAAGAUGGUCAUCAUCCAGGAUGGACCAGGACAAGAAAUGGAAAAACCCCUACGUAUUUCCGGCGACCCACAAAAGGUGGAGCAUGCCAAACAGCUGGUCUUUGAGCUUAUCCAGGAAAAAGAUAACUACAACGCCCAGCGGCAACAGCAACAACAGCAGGCACCAAUGAACGGAACCGAACAGGCGGAAGUCUUCGUUCCGAAAUCGGCAGUUGGCGUCGUCAUCGGAAAAGGAGGUGACAUGAUCAAGAAGAUCCAGGGCGAAUCUGGUUGCAAGCUGCAGUUCAUCCAGGGUCGUGGCGACGGACCGGGUGACCGUCGAUGCAUCGUGCAAGGGUCCAGGGCUCAGGUCGAAGAGGGAAAACGAAUGAUCGAGGAGCUGAUUGAGAGCGUCCAACGCCGAGAGCAAGGCGGCGGUGGACGAGGAGGUCGAGGUGGUGAUCGGGAUGACCGUGGCGAUCGGGGAGAUCGACAGCAUCGCGGUGGCCGUGAUAACCACGACAACGGCAACAGUGGACAGUAUGGAAACGAUUUCGGUGGUCCGCAAGUCACACGAGAAGAGUACACGUUCACGGUUCCGGUUAACAAGUGUGGUAUUAUCAUCGGUCGCGGUGGAGACACGAUCAAGCAGAUCAACCAGCAGUCUGGAGCACACACAGAAAUGGAUCGCAAGGCGUCCGCUAACCAGACGAACGAGAAAACAUUCACCACCAAGGGUGAACCACACCAAAUCGAGGAAGCCAAGCGAUUGAUCCAGGACAAGAUCAACAUGGAGAUCAAUCUGGUCUACGUCGGUACCUCGACUGCUCCCGCCCAACAGUAUCAGAACAAUGGCCAGCAGAAUGCUUACGGUCAGAGCUGGGGUGGCUACCAACAGCAGUCGUGGGAUCAAACCCCGCAGGUACAAGCCAGUCCGGCGUCCGCUGCGGCUGUCCAACAGCAACAGCAGCCUGGCGGCGGCGGCGGCGGUGGCCAGGCGGACUACUCCCAGCAGUGGAUUGAAUACUAUCGACAAAUGGGAAUGCACCGAGAGGCGGAGAUGAUCGAACAACAGGUCAAGGCACGACAGGCGGCGGCUUCGCAACAGGGUGCGGCGGCAGCGGUGGCAGCGACGGUCCAAACGACACAAGCUAAUCAAACUGUCCAAGGUACAUCAGUGGUUGCAACGAGCAAUGCCGGAGCCCAGCAAGCGAGUGGCGGUGGCGGAGGCGGUGGUGGUCAAGCCGACUACAGUGCCGAAUGGGCCGAGUACUACCGACGGCUCGGUAGGAUCGACGAGGCCGAAGCAAUUGAAAAGCAAAUCGCUGCUAACAAGGCUGUGCCGUCUGGAGCUGGUAGCGGAGGCCAACCGGGAGGUGCUGCUGGACAGCAAUUUGGCGGUGCAGGUGGAGCACCUGGAGGUGCCGGUGGAGGCAAUCCCCAGCAGAUGGCAGCCCAGCAGGCGGCCGGAGGUUUCAAUGCCCAACAGUUCCAGCAGUACUACGCGGGGGCGGCAGCCGCCGGAGGACAACCUGGAGGGUACCAAGGCUAUCCGUACGGGGGAGGAUAUCCGGGACAGCAAGGUGGACAGCCUGGCCAGCAGCAGGGUGGCCAGGGACCGGACAAAAACUAACCAAGCGUACGCUAAUUGUGCGUACCACAGUCGAAUGCUGAACUCACCCGACGACGACUAACUCCCCCUUCCAAAUCUGUAAAAUGUUAAGAUUAUGAAUGCUAUAUAACCAUAUGUAUCAACUAUUCGACAAAAUACAGAGUAACAAAACUAGCGUUAAAGCUAUGUAGGUCAAAUGGAAAACUAGAGUUGAUCACAGCUUAAUAGUGAAGGCAGAAAAACACAGACACACUAAACGUAGCCAUUAAUCAAGAAACUGAGAAGAACAAGAACAUUCAACUUAACGUAAACGUAAAGAAAACAUAGUAAACUAAACAUUAAUCAAUUGCAUUCAACUUCAAUAGAAUCUAUAUGUGUAUGUGUCCGUUUGAAACUUUAGGUUUUGGAUGGGUUUGAUUCCGGGUAUGACGGUACCGUGCAAAGUAACUGUUCUACACAAAACUGCGACGAAAAAAUACAACCAAGAACUGUGCGGUGCAUUCCCUGCAAUAGCCUCCUAACUACGGCGGGUUUUUGAGGGUUCGCUUUUGUGUCAGUAUUUUACCCGAAAGCGAAUUCUCCCAGUUAUAUUGGCGCUUCCGGUUACAAUGCUAUGAUAUGAGUUGCAUUUUAACGAUGGUAUAUGUGUUUUUCGAAUUAUAUGCUUUACCAAAUGAUGUAAUUAGACAAUUCCAUAUAGAUGCCACUUUCACACGAUUGAACUAAAUACUAAGUUUAUUAAAUGAACUGAUAUCACACCGUUCUUAUAUUAUUAUAUUUAUCAUUUCAUUUACCUUACCAUAAACAUCUAUUUUACUAAAUAAGAAAAAUGGCCAUUUUUCUUCUUGCAUUUAUACUAUUUUAUUACCAAUCGUAUGUCCCUUUCUUUAUUUUCUCAAGCUUCUUUUUACUUUCAUCAACAAGUUCAUCAAAAACAGACGCUAGCAAUGCAGAUUUUAGCUAAAGUUGCCGGAGGAUACUGGCGUAGGGACGUACGGGGAAAACAUAAUGCGAGUUUGAACUCGCCCGACCGGGAAGGUAAUUUCAUUCAGUAAUCUAUUGCUUUAUGAUGAUUUUUAUAACUGAAUUUACCAUUAUAUGAUAUUAUAUCUGUAACAUUCUCGCCACUAUAUGAAACUGUGUAAUGAUGUGUUAUCUUAUUAAACCAUACACAAUUUACCAUUGAAUGACACAUUUAGCUUAAUUCUAAAUGCAUUGAUUUUCUUAUAUCAACGUGUUAUUCUUCAAAGUGUUUUAAAAAUGGUCAACAUUCUUAUGUAUCAAAUGGACUUUUGAAUAACUUUAUAUAAUUUUAUCUCCGGAAUUGUUUAAAACUGCAACAGCUAAAGUGUGUAAUUCGAUUGCCUCCCCCCAAAAAAGGAACGUCGCCUAGUGUGGUGAUCAAAUCGGCACGUUCGGAACCGUUGGAAAUUGUGGAACAGUGAAGAAUCAAACACAACAAAAACACUACAAAGUUCUCAGUCUCGUUAUCAUACUCUUGUGGUUUAAUAGUCCAGUAAAUACCCAAAACAGAAGCAAAGAAAAAUGAACAAUAGUAACAGACGAGCAAGCAAAGACACUUUUAAAGGUGAUAAUGAUAAACUCAGAAAAGCCAAACAUAGAACAGUUCAGAAGACAGUUUCAAGCAAAGAUAAAAACAGUGAAUCGAUCAAUGGCAAAAAGUGACUGGAGAGCAGUUUCUGAAAGGACUCCUCCCUCCUGUAAUGCAGGCAAACCAAACAAGGACACGAAACAUGAUGACGGAGUGUGAACCCAAGGUGAGAUUGUAUCAAGAAUGCGUUACAUGUAAAUUAUUUGGGUUUUUAUUUACUACUGUUUGAUUACUUUUGUCACUCACAUAAUGCGUGUCACAGUGUUAUACACGCAAUCCAUAUAAUAAUAAACAUAUUAAUGAGAAAAUGUGUGUAGUCAAGGGUUUAUUAAUUCCGUAGUCUUACGAGAACGUUCAAAUACAUCCUCCUAUAAACAAACAGAUUAUCCAAUAACAUAAUUUAGUACAAUAAGAUACCAUUCUUUCUCUACACCUAUAUUGCACAUUACAUGAAGCAACAGUUUUUAUCUCAACGGUACUGCUCUAAAAACAUCAAAGUACAUUCUUUUAUUUUCUAUGUCACUGCAAUCUAUUUCCAAUUGUUCACCUGAAUAAAUUUCGAACACUGAUUAGAUUCACUUAUUCUAGAUAGGAAUAAAGAAAAAAAUGUGUCAGUGUGCAAAAGUUUGUUCCGUUCAAUCGCAGCGCAGCAGAACGCUAGUAGCAGGAUGUCUAGAAUCCGACUGCCGAACCGACACUGCAAACGAAGCAGCUUUCCGUUUAAGGAUCUCUCCCAGAGUGCACGGUGAUGAUGGCUCCAUCUACAGCAGUAGUGUUUAUGAUCUCAUUUUUUUUUCUGAGUUUACACAUCGUUUUGUUUGCAUCCAGAUGACGUGUAAUGCAACCAGCGUUAGGGAAAUUGAAAAUUUUCCUACUGUGGUGAAUGCAGGUAAUUGUUCUGAAGAGCAAGCAAAGUGAGUUACUUGUAUCUUUUUCUUGUUUGGUUACACAUUUGGUUGUCACAUAAAUACAGCUGUUCGUCAUACCCAA